RNAcentral lists this ribosomal RNA (253 nucleotides) under uncultured bacterium. Its description in RNAcentral is "partial 16S ribosomal RNA". It matches the Rfam family "Bacterial small subunit ribosomal RNA", at positions 524 to 776 of the family's 1533-position model. The record is from RNAcentral.
UACGAAGGGGGCUAGCGUUGCUCGGAUUGACUGGGCGUAAAGGGCGCGUAGGCGGUUUGUACAGUCAGACGUGAAAUUCCUGGGCUCAACCUGGGGGCUGCGUUUGAUACGUGCAGACUUGAGUUCGGAAGAGGGUCGUGGAAUUCCCAGUGUAGAGGUGAAAUUCGUAGAUAUUGGGAAGAACACCGGUGGCGAAGGCGGCGACCUGGUCCGAUACUGACGCUGAGGCGCGAAAGCUAGGGGAGCAAACGGG